GAAAUACAGGGGCAGAGGAGGCAGCAGGGAGGCCCUGGGAGCUCUUUGAAUCCCCAGGUAGCCUAUUCCUGCCUGGCACCACUGGGAUUCAUCAGGAGGGAGGCCAGAGGAGCAGGAGGUGGGAGGCGGAAAGCCUCGGGCAAGUUUUCAAGCCCGUCCUCUGUCUGGAAACAGACUCAGAGGUGUUGCAGGGGACACGGUGGGAGUGAGACCAGCCCUUCGGUGUGCGUGGGAUCUGGGGGAGGCCUGUGACUGCCGGCUUUCCCCUGCUUCUCUGACAACCUGCAUGACUCAGCAGAGGCAGCCAUAAUCCUGGAGAGCCCCGGUUUAAGAUCUCCAGGUGAAGUAGAUUUUUAUUAACCUUCAGGAAGGGGAGAGUGGCUCAUGGGCUGAGUGGAUAAACCACAAAAUGGGUAAUAUACUAUAGGAGGCAGAGUUUGAGAUCGACGUCCCCCUGCACCUGGGGCGCCUCCUGAUGGUGAAGCUGCGCAAACACAACGUGCUGUUGAGUCUCGACUGGUUCUGCAAGUGGAUCUCAGUGCAGGGCCCGGGGACCCAAGGCGAGGCCUUUUUCCCCUGCUACCGCUGGGUGCAGGGC
RNAcentral lists this long non-coding RNA (598 nucleotides) under Homo sapiens (human). RNAcentral's name for it is "non-protein coding lnc-ALOX12-1:8". Lineage: Eukaryota; Metazoa; Chordata; Mammalia; Primates; Hominidae. The record is from RNAcentral.